UAGAAUAUAGUGUAUCAGGUAGCACAAAGAUUUUUGAAUUCUUAAGAGCAGGUUCAAUUCCUACAAUUCUGU
RNAcentral lists this transfer RNA (72 nucleotides) under Chlorocebus sabaeus (green monkey). It matches the Rfam family "tRNA". From Rfam's summary of the family: Transfer RNA (tRNA) molecules are approximately 80 nucleotides in length. Their secondary structure includes four short double-helical elements and three loops (D, anti-codon, and T loops). Further hydrogen bonds mediate the characteristic L-shaped molecular structure. tRNAs have two regions of fundamental functional importance: the anti-codon, which is responsible for specific mRNA codon recognition, and the 3' end, to which the tRNAs corresponding amino acid is attached (by aminoacyl-tRNA synthetases). tRNAs cope with the degeneracy of the genetic code in two manners: having more than one tRNA (with a specific anti-codon) for a particular amino acid; and 'wobble' base-pairing, i.e. permitting non-standard base-pairing at the 3rd anti-codon position. Lineage: Eukaryota; Metazoa; Chordata; Mammalia; Primates; Cercopithecidae. The record is from Rfam by way of RNAcentral.